CCUACGGGUGGCUGCAGUGAGGAAUCUUGGUCAAUGGGCGCGAGCCUGAACCAGCCAAGUAGCGUGAAGGAUGACUGCCCUACGGGUUGUAAACUUCUUUUAUAAAGGAAUAAAACGAGGCACGUGUGCCUUUUUGCAUGUACUUUAUGAAUAAGGAUCGGCUAACUCCGGGCCAGCAGCCGCGGUAAUACGGAGGAUCCGAGCGUUAUCCGGAUUUAGUGGGUUUAAAGGGAGCGUAGAUGGUUUGUUAAGUCAGGUGUGAAAGUUUGCGGCUCAACCGUAAAAUUGCAAUUGAUACUGGCAGUCUUGAGUACAGUUGAGGUAGGCGGAAUUCGUGGUGUAGCGGUGAAAUGCUUAGAUAUCACGAAGAACUCCGAUUGCGAAGGCAGCUUACUAAACUGCCACUGACAUUGAUGCUCGAAAGUGUGGGUAUCAAACAGGAUUAGAUACCCGGGUAGUC
Molecule: ribosomal RNA, 460 nt
Filed under: uncultured bacterium
Lineage: Bacteria
Description: partial 16S ribosomal RNA
Rfam family: Bacterial small subunit ribosomal RNA
Source: RNAcentral